CUCCUCACCAACCCCUCGAAACCCUGCUGGUUACUUGACUAGUGCUUCUCCAACCUCUCAAGUCUUCAAGUUAUACCUACCUCUUUCUUAAUCAAUUUUUUCAUCUUCACCAUCAGUGAUUCGACAGCGGUAUGUACAGCAACUGACCUUGCAUUCCUCUUUGAUCACCAUCAUCUCUCAUUCAGUUGGCAUGUCGGUGAGAGAUCAAUCAAUUAAUUUAACAUGAUGCACAAUUCUUCAUUUUUUUCUCAAAUGAUUUAAUCACCUCUGCAUCUCAUGAUCGCUCUUUGCUUUCUGAAUAGGGGAUCUCUUCUCUCCUAAGCGACACUCAUGGCGGGCAUGGUGGGUUCAGCUGUUGUGCAAGAGACCGUGAACAGAAUCACCUCCUACCUGUUCAGCAAGUGUGACCAUGACGAAAGGACGACAUCCACAAGGCAUCACAUUGAGAGGCUUGAGAUGGCGCACACCGAACUAGAGCUUGCACUUGAGAGAUCUGCAAGGAUGCCGAUCACAGACGUGUCCCUUCUACGGCGCAGGAAGCUGUUGGAGCGUGCCUUCAAAGACUGCGGAGAUCUGCUAUACAGGUGCAUCAAGCAGCAAACAAUGGACGUCAUAGAGUUGGAACAACCAGUAAGACACUCCUUCUCUAAAUGGGUCGCACAUGUGGCACAAUCUUCCGUGUCCUCCUAUUUCGCUGGGUUUCACAAAGACAACAUAAGCUGCUCAGAUGUUCGAAGAAACGAGUGGUUUGCGGAGUGCGCCAACCGUUUCCUCAGAGAUGUGGAGUCAGGAUGCUCACCUCUGCGGUGCGUGUUCUCUAACCCUCUUGUCAGGCAACUUCUUGAGGGCAAAACUCUAGAGUACAAGAUGUUGCAAGGAAGUAUACUCCGGUGUCUGCACAUACAGAGCAUGUGUGUGGAAGGGCGUGGUGUGGAGGCGACGCUGGAAUUUCGCUAUGAAGACCGGAAGACACCGAUGAGAAGUUUUUCUCUCAUGUUGAUUCUACGAUUGUCAGAGAGCAUGGACAUUGUCGGAACUGCUAUAAGAUGCUUGCAGUCAUUCACGUCUUCGAUGAAGGAUGUGGCUGAAGCAGUAAUGAGAGAACUCAUCCAACUGCCUCAGCAAGACAUUUCCCACUCACACGCUGCUUCAUGUUUCGCCAUAAAAGAUUUGGGUUCCUAUGACACCCACUUUUGGCGCCCGGAUCCACUAUGUUGCAAGCCAGACAGGUGUGCUACUAGCUGUAUUCCAUCAGAAUUAUCAUGCAAAUUCCCGGAGCAGGUUAUUCUGAUACGCAUCGAAUGCUACGUUUCUGCCUUUGAGUGCAGCAGCCUGCAUAACACAGCUGAUGCAACUGCAAGAAACCUCGUGGCUGAGCUGCCACCUCUGAAGCUUGGAGUGGGCUUCGCACCUCACUUUUUCGAUGAACGCACGCAAGGUAGAACUGCAGUUGAAAUAAUCGGAGGGAAGGAAGAGCUUAUAAAUGAUAGCCUACAGCAAAUGGACGAGACAGUACGAUCAAAGGCAAUCAAACAUUACAUUUGCCAACCUGAUCUGGCAUAUUAUAAAAUGGGGUGGUAUCCAGGACAUGGCGGUGCCUACUUCAUGGUGCAAAAAUCGGGCACUGAAAUAGCAAAGGUGCACAAAGUCGAUUGUGGUUUCGACAUCCGGAGAUCUUCAAAGAGAAGGCGGUCGAAGUGAGAAGAAUGGAGCACGAAUUCAUGCUUAGCAUAUUUAUGAGAUUGUGUUUAGAUUCAACCAAGUGCCUAAGGAUUUUGGUCAUGCAACAACAGACAUAAGUAGGAUGGAUAUGUGAUCAAGUUAGCCUGUGAGGGACAGUAAACCAAAAAUAAUGCCCCAUUAUAUGGCGGUACAAUUUUGUACUUUAGAUGUGGGAUUAAAUGAUUAAAUGUUUCUUUAAGUUGGAUGAUAUUAUGGUCUUGUCAGUCUAUUUAUAAUCCGUCAUAUACAGUUAUAGUUCCUUUUUUUCUCAACUGUAGCUUCAUUCAUCAAGCAUGGUCCAUUUCACAGAAAGUAAGCCCAUUGAACCAAAAUACAUGACAUGUGAAAAAUGGGACACAAGAACAAUGUAGUGAGUCAAUUUGACACCAAUCAGACUAGCAUGCCAAGGUAAUAAAUUGACAAUGAUUUGUAUUUUGUAUAUUGGCUUCAUUCUAUUAGAAAUUGCCAGUGACAAGCAGCCAAGACAAUUCCAAGUUCCUUGUCCAAAAAUACUUUCAAACGGUAUUCUUCACACCUCCACUUUCUUUCCCUGUCAUUGAUAGUUAUCACACCAACAACCUCCAUUUUGACGUGACUUGACAAACCUCUUCGUCUUUUUCCAUGUAAUGCAUGUUGGACUAAUAUAUUCAUCAAGUAGAAAUUCUCGUCGUUGACCUAAGUACGACUUCUUGACUAAAUGCAUGCAUGAUUUCUCUUGGAGAGACCAAAUCCAAACAAUGCUUCACAAUUGAAGUUGUCUAACGUUUCCCCCUUCAAAGUCUUGGCCAUCAUUAUCUUCUCUUUAAGUUGUAAUCUUCCCUUGCAGUGAGGUUAGGAAUUUUUGUACGAAGACCACAGGACACCAACGAUAUUGUUGGGACUGCUAUAAGGUGCUUGCGGUCAUUCACCUCUUCAUUCAAGCCUGUGGCUGAAGCUGUAUUUGGAGAACUUGCCUGACUGCCUUCUCAAGACAUUUCGCAUUCACAAGAUGCUCCUUGUUUCACUAUACAAGAAUUGUGUUCCUACGGUUUGGCGUCCGGAUGCAAUAUGUUGCAAAUCGAAUGGGUGUGAUGGACACAACAUACCGUCGGAACUAUCAUGCAGAUUCCCGGAGCAGGUCAUCCUGGUACAUGUUGAAUGCUUUGCUUCGGCCUCUGAGUGCAGCAAAUUGCAUAGCACAGCAGCUGACGGAGCUCGCACAAAUAAAUGUGGUGGGUCACUGGCCGCCUCUGAAGCCGGGAGUUGGCUUCGCACCUCACUUCUUCCUUGAAUGCAUGCAAGAGAGAACAGCAUUUGAGAUAUAGGCGUUUCGGUCAUCCAACAUUUGGUGUUCAUUUUAUCCCUUGUAAUCAAUACUGAAUUUGUACUUCCUGUUUCAUGCUCAAUGGAAUAUGGAGCUUGUGAAUUUUUCGCUGUA
Setaria italica (foxtail millet) is the source of this 3139-nucleotide RNA transcript. RefSeq lists it as uncharacterized. The transcript is spliced from 2 exons. NCBI's taxonomy places the organism in Eukaryota, Viridiplantae, Streptophyta, Magnoliopsida, Poales, Poaceae. The record is from RefSeq and is a predicted model, not a curated record.